This is a long non-coding RNA of Xiphophorus maculatus (southern platyfish), 468 nucleotides long. RefSeq lists it as uncharacterized. The transcript has 3 exons. NCBI's taxonomy places the organism in Eukaryota, Metazoa, Chordata, Actinopteri, Cyprinodontiformes, Poeciliidae. The record is from RefSeq and is a predicted model, not a curated record.
UUUAUGUACAUCACUUUAAGAGUCGGGCGUUAAUGACGUCAUUAGAGAGCAGACAAGUCAGGACAAUGCAACGCAUGGUUUUUGCAGUAACACGGCUACUCCUAUACAGUUGGUCCUAGAAAGCACUGUCGACUAAAACUGCGCGUCAACCAGUGAGGAUGCUGAAGGAAGAAACAUAAAACGGCUCAGGAGUGAAGAGGCGCAGCUUAUCUUCCCCAAAUAGUCGCACUGGCAAGCAGAUGAAGCACCUGUGUGAAAAAUCACGUCCUCCAAUACGUCACGGCUCAAAAUGUCCAGGGUGGGCACAGGGAGUGAGGACGAAAAGCUGAGGCAGUCAGGUGGAAACAGCAGUGGUUUAUUCUUCACACAGCAUCAGCAACACUUCACAGGUGAAACUGCAGCCUUAAAUAGUCCCAGCUGUGACCGACCAAACCACCUUUAAUUGACAGGGUUGUCUCAAUUCAUCAA